This 275-nucleotide long non-coding RNA is filed under the name Homo sapiens (human). Its description in RNAcentral is "non-protein coding lnc-LRP5-1:2". Lineage: Eukaryota; Metazoa; Chordata; Mammalia; Primates; Hominidae. The record is from RNAcentral.
AUUUUGAGCAGUCCUUCUGACCCUCGUGGCUUCUCCUGCUCCAAGGCCAAGCUCGGGACCCUGUCAUCAUCCCCGGGGACAGGCCCCAUCUUAGAGAGGAUCCACCCAGCUCCCCGCUCCUGAGCCAUCUUCCAGCUAUCCCGCCUCGAGACUCCCACCGCACCUGCUCCUGGGCUGCAGCUGCACCCAACAAGUCAACAUGUGGAUUGCUUCUAGAAUUUGGAUAUUAUGAACACUGCUGUGCUGAACAUUCUUGUACACUUAUAUGGUUUGGC